CAGUAGCCGCGGUAAUACGUAGGUGGCAAGCGUUGUCCGGAAUUAUUGGGCGUAAAGGGCUCGCAGGCGGUUUCUUAAGUCUGAUGUGAAAGCCCCCGGCUCAACCGGGGAGGGUCAUUGGAAACUGGGAAACCUGAGUGCAGAAGAGGAGAGUGGAAUUCCACGUGUAGCGGUGAAAUGCGUAGAGAUGUGGAGGAACACCAGUGGCGAAGGCGACUCUCUGGUCUGUAACUGACGCUGAGGAGCGAAAGCGUGGGGAGCGAACAGGAUUAGAUACCCCCGUAGUCCCUGUCUCUUAUAC
Molecule: ribosomal RNA, 301 nt
Filed under: uncultured bacterium
Lineage: Bacteria
Description: partial 16S ribosomal RNA
Rfam family: Bacterial small subunit ribosomal RNA
Source: RNAcentral